UAGUCUCGCACAGAUGCAUAUCAAUAAGCGGAGGAAAAGAGAACUAACAAGGAUUCCCUUAGUAAUGGCGAGUGAAGCGGGAAGAGCUCAAAUUUGAAAUCUUCAAGGUUUUACCUUGACGAAUUGUAGUUUAAAGAAGUGUUUUCUGUUGAAGUUUUGGUAAAAGUUCUUUGGAAUAGGACAUCAUAGAGGGUGAGAAUCCCGUAUUUGACCAUUAUUUUCAGCUGUGUGAUACACUUUCAAAGAGUCGGAUUGUUUGGGAAUGCAGUCCAAAAUGGGUGGUAAAUUUCAUCUAAAGCUAAAUAUUGGCGAGAGACCGAUAGCGAACAAGUACCGUGAGGGAAAGAUGAAAAGAACUUUGAAAAGAGAGUUAAACAGUACGUGAAAUUGUCAAAAGGGAAGCGUUUGACACCAGUGUUGUUUUCUCGAAAAUCAAUUAAAAAGAGUUUAGAUUUUGUUGUGUAUUGACCUUAACAGCUUGCAUUUCAAUUUUCUUGCUUUUUUUUAAUGCACUUUUCGUUUAACAAGUCAACAUCAGUUUCUUUUGUUGUAAAAAGGUCAUUGGAAGGUGGCUUUCUUUUCGGAGAAAGUGUUUAUAGCCUUUGACUCCUGCAAUCGGAGAGACUGAGGUCUGCAGCGUAGAUCCUUCGGGGUUAGAUACAUUUGUGCUAAGUUAUAGCUUUUUAUAGACAACUUGUUGACUAUGAUUAGUCUUGUAGCUUACUCGCUUAUGCUAUUUUACCUACGCUUAGGAUGUUGAGCGCAUGUCUCUCUCU
RNAcentral lists this ribosomal RNA (776 nucleotides) under uncultured Neocallimastigales. RNAcentral describes it as "partial large subunit ribosomal RNA". It matches the Rfam family "Eukaryotic large subunit ribosomal RNA", at positions 24 to 616 of the family's 3401-position model. The record is from RNAcentral. Lineage: Eukaryota; Fungi; Neocallimastigomycota; Neocallimastigomycetes; Neocallimastigales.